GACGAACGCUGGCGGCGUGCUUAACACAUGCAAGUCGAACGCGCCUGUCCUCUGGGUUUCUGGGGGGUGUGUGAGUGGCGAACGGGUGAGUAACACGUGAGUAACCUGCCCCCUUCUUCGGGAUAACGGUCUGAAAGGGCUGCUAAUACCGGGUAUUCACUGGUCUCCGCAUGGGGUCUGGAGGAAAGGUUUUUUUCUGGUGGGUGAUGGGCUCGCGGCCUAUCGGCUUGUUGGUGGGGUGAUGGCCCACCAAAGCUUUGACGGGUAGCCGGCCUGAGAGGGUGACCGGUCACAUUGGGACGGAGCUGCGGCCCAGACGCGUACGCGGGGGAGAAGUGGGGACUAUUGGCGAAUGGGCGAAAGAGUGAUGCAGCGACGGCGAGGGAGGGAUGGGGGCCGUAGGGUUGUGAAACUCUUUAGCCCGUGGUCAAGCCGCGACGUGGGUCGUGGUGAGGGUAGUGGGUAAAGAAGCGCCGGCUAACUACGUG
This 488-nucleotide ribosomal RNA is filed under the name uncultured bacterium. Its description in RNAcentral is "partial 16S ribosomal RNA". It matches the Rfam family "Bacterial small subunit ribosomal RNA", at positions 28 to 507 of the family's 1533-position model. The record is from RNAcentral.